AUCCAAACGGAGCUGCUGCAACUGCAACUCUGCAAGCAACAAACAAUGGGCUUCGUUCUCUGCGUUUCUGUGCCUUCCACUUUCUCUCUCCCAUUAUUACUGAUCCCACCCUUACAACCUCAUCGUUCGUAGGCUAGCUAGUUUUGGCGCUUUAAUUCCAAGGGAGGCCACCAACAGAAAGAUCUCUUCCUUCUCUGCUUCUGUCCUUCCCAGAAGAAGUGGAGGAAAAGGUAGGGUUUCGGAGAUGAGAGAAGAUAGGCAGCGACCGGCGGGCGGAAGGGCACCCGCCAAAGAUAAAAUUGACGCUUUUGGGAGACUCUUGCAUUCAGAAAAGAAAAUAACAGUGGUUUUGCCUCUUGGAAGAAAAUGGGAAACUGCUGAUUCGGGCAAACCACGGAUACACAAUAGAGGUGAUGUUCCCUUUUAGAAAUGCAACUGUCUUCUGCAUCAUGCAUUCCUGCUUCAUUCUUCAUUUCACCCAACAAAGUAGUACAAAAAAGAAUAAAAAUGUGUAUAGUUUUGAAGUUUGAUUGAGAUCUUUGUAUAAAAAAUUUGUGCUUUUUUUUUCUUUUUUGUCAAAUGUGCCGUUGUUUGCCCUUGUAGCAGAUGUUUUCAAUAGAUUACUCUCAAAGGUUGAUAGUGAAGAGUUAAUAAAAGGAUGGAGGUUAGGUAGAAAUAGAGUCCCGGUGACCCAUCUCCAAUUUGAUGAUGAUAUCAUUAUUUUUCAGUGAAGGGGAUGACUUAAGGAGAGCAAGGAAUCUGAAAAUUUUGAUAAAUUACUUUGCAAGUGUCUCUAACUUGAAAAUAAACCUGGAUAAGAGUUAUGUGGUGGGGAUAAACUUGAAUGAAGGGGUUAUUGAGUCUGUUAUAGAGUGCUUAAGUUGUCACAGUGCUUCUUGGCCUUUGUCCUAUCUAGGGCUCCCUCUAAGUGCUAACCCGAAGGAGAGUGGUUUUUGGACUCCAAUGUUGGAAAAGUUUGGAGAAACUAAUUAGGAAUUUCCUAUGGCGGCUAGGGGAAGAGAAGAAGGAGCACUUAAUAAGGUGGGAAAUAAUAUCCAGGAGCAAGGAAGAAGGCGGGUCGGGGAUAGGAAAUUUGGUUCUAAAGAAUAUAGCUUUGUUAGGUAACUGGUUGUAGAGAUGGCCCUUGUAAAGAGGGAGAUUGUGGCAUGAGGUGAUAGCUAGUAUUCGUGGUUGCUUGGAAAAUGGCUAGGAUGCCAGUGUUUCUCGUUGGGCAACCUUGACAACUUGGGAAGCAAUUCACAAUAUCCUUCCCCAAUUUCUUAACUUUGUCAGGUAUGAUGUUUGCUUAGGGGAUUUAUUCACUUUUGGGUCCAGGUGGGAAAUUCGGCUCUCAAAGACCUUUUCCCUUCUCUCUACUCUAUUUCCUUGUUUAAGCAUAAAGUUUUUUAUUUUUGUUUCUUCCCUUCCUCUCCCCCCCCUCCCCCCUUUCCUUUGUCUUUAAGUUGGAAUUUUGGCUUCCGUUGGGGUUUAAGGGAUGUUAAACUUGGUGUUGUUUAGAAACUCCUGGUUCUUGAUAAUGUCUGUUUGGAUCCUUUAAAAUCAAACAAGAGGAUUUGGUCCCCUCCAUCCAAAAGGGUCCUUUACUUGUGCUUCUUUUUUGAAGUCUCUUGGUUCUUCCUCCACUCAAGUGGCCUUUCCAGUUAAGGAUAUUUGGGUUCUCGCUACCUGAAGGAUGUGUAAAGCUGAAUUUUGAUGGAAUUGGUUAAGGCAAUCCUAGCCCCUCAUGUAUAGGCGGGGUUUUGAGAUAUAAGGAUAGAAAUAUCUUUGCCUUGUACAUGGGCCCAGUGGCAAUAGGAGACUCAAAUAGGACCGAGUUGUUGGCAACUUUACAAGGUAUUCAGAUUGCAAAUUAACUUGGUGUUGAUAAUCUUCUGUACAUGGGACUGUUCAUGGCUGAUGUGUCUUCCUUGUGUGCAGGAAACGAAUGGGCGGGCGUUUGGCUUCCUUCACUGGGAUGUGCUUCUCAUGGGCUAAUGGGCUGGUCCUCGGGCUGGCUAGUGGCUUGGGCCUGGGGUGCCACAUGGACUAAGGGCUCAACAACUCCCCCCCUCUUCAAAACAACCUUGUCCUUAAGGUUGAAGCCUGGAAACAUCCUCUUAAGGUUGUCACAAUCUUCCCAGGAUGCAUCCUCCUCUGCCAGGUACUUCCAAAACCACCAAUGCUUCCUUGUGAACUGCUUUACCCCUUUCAACCCACCUCAGAUCUAGAACCACCACCGGCUCAGGAUGGAGACCUUUCCUCAUCAUCGAACUCAGGCAAUGUGGGGCUAGCAUCCACCUGAGAGCUGAGACCCUACGCUCUUUUUUAGUAGGGAGACAUGGAAAACAGGGUGAAUGUGAGAGGAUGGAGGAAGGUCCAGUCUGUACGCCACCUCCCCUACUCGGGCCACUAUUCGAAAGGGCCCAAAAAACCUGGGUGCAAAUUUAGGCCACUUCCGACUGACACCUUGUUACGGUUCAAAGCAGGCUUAGCCUUGCCUACGCUUGGCAGGCUUACGUUAGGGACAUGCCCGUCAUUUUCGCCUAUAAGAUUUUUGG
Nelumbo nucifera (sacred lotus) is the source of this 2558-nucleotide non-coding RNA. The record is from RefSeq and is a predicted model, not a curated record. Lineage: Eukaryota; Viridiplantae; Streptophyta; Magnoliopsida; Proteales; Nelumbonaceae.